AACUAACGCUGGCGGCGCGCCUAAUACAUGCAAGUCGAACGAUGUAGCAAUACAUAGUGGCGCACGGGAGAGUAACACGUGGAUAAUCUCCCCUCGAGAGAGGAAUAACUAGUCGAAAGAUUGGCUAAUACUUCAUAAGACCACAGAAACUAAUGUUUCAGGGGUAAAAGUCGUAAGACGCUUGAGGAUGAGUCUGCGUCCCAUUAGCUAGUUGGUGAGGUAACGGCUCACCAAGGCGACGAUGGGUAGCUGGUCUGAGAGGAUGAUCAGCCUCACUGGAACUGACACACGGUCCAGACUCCUACGGGAGGCAGCAGUAGGGAAUAUUGCACAAUGGGCGAAAGCCUGAUGCAGCGACGCCGCGUGAGUGAUGAAGGCCUUCGGGUCGUAAAGCUCUGUCGUAUGGGACUAACACAAUGAAGGUACCAUGCAAGAAAGGAUCGGCUAACUUCGUGCCAGCAGCCGCGGUAAU
Molecule: ribosomal RNA, 472 nt
Filed under: uncultured bacterium
Lineage: Bacteria
Description: bacterial SSU rRNA
Rfam family: Bacterial small subunit ribosomal RNA
Source: RNAcentral